GCCUGGGUGGCUCAGUCAGUUAAGCAUCUGACUUCGGCUCAGGUCAUGAUCUCACAGUUUGUGGGUUCAAGUCCCAUGUCAGACU
This 85-nucleotide transfer RNA is filed under the name Felis catus (domestic cat). It matches the Rfam family "tRNA". Rfam says of the family: Transfer RNA (tRNA) molecules are approximately 80 nucleotides in length. Their secondary structure includes four short double-helical elements and three loops (D, anti-codon, and T loops). Lineage: Eukaryota; Metazoa; Chordata; Mammalia; Carnivora; Felidae. The record is from Rfam by way of RNAcentral.